CAUAAUUUUAUUUUUAAACUUCUAAAAAUAAAGAAAACUUCCAAAUACUACAGUACUCUUCAAAAAAUCUAUUUUUACUUAAAAACCGCAAGGGUCAAUAUUUAGCCUUUUUAAGAAGUAAUAACCACGUAUCCCUUUUGCAUCAUGGAGAAGCAACAAAAUUAUAGCAAGCUAAAUUCCCGAAUGACUAUGAGCUACUAAACUUUAAAACUCAAUGUGUCAAAAUUGACAAAUUAAUCCUUAGUAGAAGUAACAAGCCUUUCAUAUAGUCGUAUAGCUGGUUUUUCUUUAAAAGCAUCAAAGUGCUGACUUAUAGUACAAACAGUAACGCUAUUAACACUAUAAAGUUUAACUUAUUGAGGAUAAGCUCAAUAAUAUCAUCAAAAAUAUUUUACUAUCCUGUCAUUAAAAGUAGGCUUAAAAGCAGCCACCAUACAACGUUCCAGUUACCAACUGCUAACCAAACAAUAUCCAUACAUAACAUUUUAAACCUAAAGAAAUUUAAUAUAAAAUUCUACAUAUUAAUAAACAGGCAUUCUAUUAGUAUUAACGUAAUCUCUCAUUCACAACUCUAAAUGAAUCUGAAUCACAAUCACUUUACCCUUUAAAAUAUACAAAGCGAACUCGGCAAAUAAAUUCCCUGCCUGUUUACCAAAAACAUCGUCUUUUGAAUCUCCCUAAAUAAAAGAUAAUGCCUGCCCAGUGAAAAUUUUAAACGGCCGCGUUAGCGUGAGCGUGCUAAGGUAGCGUAAUAAUUAGCCUUUUAAUUGGAGGCCAGUGAAUGGCAAGACUAGGAAUAACUGUACUUUGUAUAUAAAAAGAACUUUUCAUCUAAGUGAAAAGACUUAGAUAAUAAAGGAAGACGAAAAGACCCCGCGGAACUUUACCUUUUUUUGUACUUCCGUCUACAAAUUUAAAAGUACAUGAGGUUUGAUUGGGGCAAUCUUGGAACCGACAAAGCUUCCAAUUUAUUUUAAGCCAUAUUAAAAAUUUAUUAAGGACUAAAAAGUAGUUACCCCGGGGAUAACAGCGUAAAUCUACUUAAGAGGACCCCGGGUAAGCUCGAAUCACGGCCUCGAUGUUGGCUUAAGGAUAUCCACAUAAGUGAAGCCGCUAUGUCAGGAUAGUCUGUUCGACUAUUAUACCCUUACACGAGCUGAGUUAAGACCGGCGCAAGCUAGGUUGGUUUCUAUCUCCUUUAACUUACAAACCUUUCUUGAUUGUACGAAAGGACCUCAAGAAAUGCAGUUAACAAAAGCAUUUAUAAAACUCAUAUACCUUUGAUUUAAAGUAAUACACCCUGCAUUUAUAAACCAAACAUCACUAAUUUACCUAUUAA
Molecule: ribosomal RNA, 1339 nt
Filed under: Lamprotula gottschei
Lineage: Eukaryota; Metazoa; Mollusca; Bivalvia; Unionida; Unionidae
Description: 16S ribosomal RNA
Source: RNAcentral